AGCGAACGCUGGCGGUAGGCCUAACACAUGCCAGUCGAACGGCAGCACAGUAAGAGCUUGCUCUUACGGGUGGCGAGUGGCGGACGGGUGAGGAAUACAUCGGAAUCUACUUUUUCGUGGGGGAUAACGUAGGGAAACUUACGCUAAUACCGCAUACGACCUACGGGUGAAAGCAGGGGAUCUUCGGACCUUGCGCGAUUGAAUGAGCCGAUGUCGGAUUAGCUAGUUGGCGGGGUAAAGGCCCACCAAGGCGACGAUCCGUAGCUGGUCUGAGAGGAUGAUCAGCCACACUGGAACUGAGACACGGUCCAGACUCCUACGGGAGGCAGCAGUGGGGAAUAUUGGACAAUGGGCGCAAGCCUGAUCCAGCCAUACCGCGUGGGUGAAGAAGGCCUUCGGGUUGUAAAGCCCUUUUGUUGGGAAAGAAAAGCAGCAGGUUAAUACCCCGCUGUUCUGACGGUACCCAAAGAAUAAGCACCGGCUAACUUCGU
This 491-nucleotide ribosomal RNA is filed under the name uncultured bacterium. Its description in RNAcentral is "partial 16S ribosomal RNA". It matches the Rfam family "Bacterial small subunit ribosomal RNA", at positions 29 to 506 of the family's 1533-position model. The record is from RNAcentral.